ACGCGAGGAACCUUACCAGGUCUUGACAUCUCCUGCCAACCCUAGAGAUAGGGCGUUUCCCUUCGGGGAACAGGAUGACAGGUGGUGCAUGGUUGUCGUCAGCUCGUGUCGUGAGAUGUUGGGUUAAGUCCCGCAACGAGCGCAACCCUUGAUCUUAGUUGCCAGCAUUCAGUUGGGCACUCUAAGGUGACUGCCGGUGACAAACCGGAGGAAGGUGGGGAUGACGUCAAAUCAUCAUGCCCCUUAUGACCUGGGCUACACACGUGCUACAAUGGACGGUACAAACGGUUGCCAACCCGCGAGGGGGAGCUAAUCCGAUAAAACCGUUCUCAGUUCGGAUUGUAGGCUGCAACUCGCCUACAUGAAGCCGGAAUCGCUAGUAAUCGCGGAUCAGCAUGCCGCGGUGAAUACGUUCCCGGGCCUUGUACACACCGCCCGU
This 439-nucleotide ribosomal RNA is filed under the name uncultured bacterium. RNAcentral describes it as "bacterial SSU rRNA". It matches the Rfam family "Bacterial small subunit ribosomal RNA", at positions 959 to 1397 of the family's 1533-position model. The record is from RNAcentral.